Non-coding RNA from Oryza sativa Japonica Group (Japanese rice), 736 nucleotides. The record is from RefSeq and is a predicted model, not a curated record. Lineage: Eukaryota; Viridiplantae; Streptophyta; Magnoliopsida; Poales; Poaceae.
UUCUGAAGAUUGCAAGGGGUUAGGUAGAGCUCUAGGCCUCUAGCCUAGCCAGCCUUUCUCUUCCCUUCUCCUUAUAUACCACACUAGAACACAGGAGCAAGAACAAGCCACACCAUUGCUCAUCACCUCUCCAUCUUUAGUUUGAAGUAUCUCAGUUUUGCGAUUCUCCUCGCUGUUCACCGCGAAUAAUCAAGCAUCGAUUGACGACGACGAUGGACGAACCAUCGCAGGGCGGUGACCAGAAGCUGUCGGCCAUGGAGCAUGUCAAGAAACGCCAUGAAGAGAAGGGCUUCCUCUAUGCCUGCUUGUUCAUGCUGUGCUGCUGCUUCUGCUGCUACGAAACCUGCGAGCACUGCCUCGAGUGCUUCUGCUGCUGCUGCAAGAAGGACAACUGAUAGAGAUCAAGAUCGAUUUCCUGGAUUUGUUAGCGAAUUGUUCGUCGAAAUAAUAAAAGGCUAGCUUGGUGUGAUUCUUCUCGGUUUUAAUUUGUGUGUUAACUAUGCGUUAACCGUGGUGAGCUAGCUAAUAGUUAUGUACUCCAUGCUGUGACUAUGAGUGAGCGAGUGAAUUGCAGGUGGAUUGUGGUUGUAAGUUUGUAAGCUGGAUUUCUGAUUUUUCAUGUCAGUUCAUUGUUGUAGUACAAAUUCUUGUGUAAACAUAAGUGUAGGUGAUUCAUGUUGCAGUUAUCCAGUUAUUUCUUCUGCUUGCAUAAACUGAUACACAGAAGUUCAGAUUA